RNAcentral lists this long non-coding RNA (392 nucleotides) under Felis catus (domestic cat). RNAcentral describes it as "lncRNA (ENSFCAG00000043875.2)". Lineage: Eukaryota; Metazoa; Chordata; Mammalia; Carnivora; Felidae. The record is from RNAcentral.
GCUCUGUUGGCGGGAGCGGCGCCUGGCGGGGAGGGGUCUGCACUUGCUGUAGGUUCACGAAGGAUCUCCCUUCCCAGGGCGUGGGGCUGUCACCUGGCCACGGGGCUUUGUCUCCUCCAGGUGCAGGGAAGGACCUCAGGCGGCAGGAGAAGGUUCUGGGCCCGGGAGCCUCCUGCUCCUCCCACGGUGAGACAGAAUCCCCGGCCUGCCGUUUGCCGCAGAUGGUGACAAACUGGAAACUCCUGAGCUGAUGCUAUCGGACCCAAAGGGCCAGGGACGCUGGGCCAGGAUUGGGGGCUGGGGGCUCCGAAGGCCGUUCUGGGCAUGAUCCUGGGCCUUCACAGCCUUCCUAGGUGUCUGUGAGCCCCUGGAGGGGAGGUGGGGGCCAGAAG